UGGGGAAUAUUGCACAAUGGGCGAAAGCCUGAUGCAGCGACGCCGCGUGAGGGAUGACGGCCUUCGGGUUGUAAACCUCUUUCAGUAGGGAAGAAGCGAAAGUGACGGUACCUGCAGAAGAAGCGCCGGCUAACUACGUGCCAGCAGCCGCGGUAAUACGUAGGGCGCAAGCGUUAUCCGGAAUUAUUGGGCGUAAAGAGCUCGUAGGCGGUUUGUCGCGUCUGCUGUGAAAGACCGGGGCUCAACUCCGGUUCUGCAGUGGGUACGGGCAGACUAGAGUGAUGUAGGGGAGACUGGAAUGCCUGGUGUAGCAGUGAAAUGCACAGAUAUCAGGAGGAACACCGAUGGCGAAGGCAGGUCGCUGGGCAUUAACUGACGCUGGGGAGCGAAAGCAUGGGGAGCGAACAGG
This 409-nucleotide ribosomal RNA is filed under the name Bacillota bacterium. Its description in RNAcentral is "Firmicutes bacterium partial 16S ribosomal RNA". It matches the Rfam family "Bacterial small subunit ribosomal RNA", at positions 355 to 776 of the family's 1533-position model. Lineage: Bacteria; Bacillati; Bacillota. The record is from RNAcentral.